CUGACAUGAAACUGAGUUCAAGUGAUGUAUUUCGGUGUUGCUCAGGGUUUAAAUGUCACCUGUGUCACCUGAGAUAGACGCACGCGGCCACAGGUGUGUGGGAAGGACUUCUAUUCAUGAUUGAUGUAUUGUAGGUGGGCUGACAGCGGCCCACCGUAUGUCCUGUCAUAUGGCAGAGGUUUGGCGCUGGCUCGGCUGUGAAGAUAAGAGCUGUCACUUUGAAAUGCUGGAGGAUUUCAGCCUGAUGUCUUGAUAACACACCUGUCAGGUUCUCGGCCUUUGUCUUCUAUUGGUCAGUCAAAUGGGUAGCCCCACCC
Onychostoma macrolepis is the source of this 317-nucleotide long non-coding RNA. RefSeq lists it as uncharacterized. The transcript is spliced from 3 exons. NCBI's taxonomy places the organism in Eukaryota, Metazoa, Chordata, Actinopteri, Cypriniformes, Cyprinidae. The record is from RefSeq and is a predicted model, not a curated record.